GUAGCUUCUCGGCCUUUUGGCUAAGAUCAAGUGUAGUAUAGGAGCAACAGAAUGUAAAUCAAAACUCAUGAUUGAAAGUUGACUGGAUAGGCCUGUCAGAACAUAUGGCUCUUCAAUUGUGUUUUAAAUUUCAACAGCUCUGUCGGAUCUUCC
Molecule: small nuclear RNA, 153 nt
Organism: Anolis carolinensis (green anole)
Lineage: Eukaryota; Metazoa; Chordata; Lepidosauria; Squamata; Anolidae
Gene: U2
Rfam family: U2 spliceosomal RNA
About the family: U2 is a small nuclear RNA (snRNA) component of the spliceosome (involved in pre-mRNA splicing). Complementary binding between U2 snRNA (in an area lying towards the 5' end but 3' to hairpin I) and the branchpoint sequence (BPS) of the intron results the bulging out of an unpaired adenosine, on the BPS, which initiates a nucleophilic attack at the intronic 5' splice site, thus starting the first of two transesterification reactions that mediate splicing.
Source: Ensembl